RNAcentral lists this small RNA (27 nucleotides) under Bombyx mori (domestic silkworm). RNAcentral describes it as "ovarian small RNA-32876". Lineage: Eukaryota; Metazoa; Arthropoda; Insecta; Lepidoptera; Bombycidae. The record is from RNAcentral.
UGAUGGCAGGGUCGAGAUGGUAAGCCA